UCUCUUCCAAAUGAGACCACAGCAAAUAAGCAGUAACACUCAGUGACAGAAUGUGCUGUUGAGGACAAAUCAGCCAUAGGGAGUGAUGAGAACAGGUUCCAGAUGAAGUAAGCAGAGGUUCUCAGCAGCAGGUGGAUGCUGGAGGCUCUGGCUGGAACUUCUCUACGUCACAUCCAGGAGAUUGAACUGUUGCUUUCAGGAAUCCAUGGUUGGAAACGUGCAGGAAAACUACUGUGGAAAGUAACUUGCAGCUGCUUGAUGCCAUGGUUCCUAGCACUCUAAGCAAUGUGCUCCAGGGUGGUGUGGAAUUAACAUCUGAGAGACUGAGAUGAUAUCCCUGUAGAUCCUGUCUGCACUCUGAGCCUGACCUGCUUCAGUCUGAACGUCUCUGGUAUUUUGCAGGGUGAAGAGAGGCAUGAGUAGUCCUGGCAGUCUUUACAGCAUGAGCUGUGUUGCUUUGAGUGAAAUGCAGUCAUUACAGAGGGAAUGACACUUGGGGCUCCUGGAGCUGGCCCAGCUCUGCACUGGUUCCUCAGAGGCAGUUCUGAGCUACUGUCCUGUCUUUAGAGGAAAAUGGAGGGCCUGAGAGGAUUGCCUGGGGGUUCAGUAAGGCAGUGGCAGGUGGCUUUAUAAGCUGUCUUUCAUCCAAGAAACUCAGCUACCCUUAUGUCAGAGGCUAUUCACAUCCUGUAUGGGCAGGACUGUCUUCUCGCUCAUCUCUGGUGGCUCCUGUUGUCUCUCCCUCAUGCUGUGUUUCAGCCAUGGUGUAAUGUAUGGCUGAAACCCCCUUCUAGCUUCCUCCUGCUGAGCUCUCUUUGCUGUGCUGACCCUGUACCUGGCCUAGGUGCCAGCAAACCCACCAGUAAAUUCUAUAGCUCCCUGCUCUGAUGUAAUAGCAUUGCUUGGAGUGGGAAUUUGCUGUCCAAGAGUGGCAAGGUUUCUGGCCCUGUAAAAUGGCUUGGCUGUGUUCAGCAAUUUCCCUUUCCUGGCUCUUAAUUUAUUCAGAGCAGCAAGCCAAAUAGACUCAUAGGCACAAUCGAAACAUGGGAUAAAUAUUCUGAGUGGCUUGAUCUAUAGGAACAAGCACAUGGGGGAGGGAAUGAGUUCAUCUCCUCUGUGCUCCUGGCAGGGCUGUUCCUACAUCUCCUGUGUGCUGCAGUGGGGUGAUAAGCUGGUUGCAGGGAGGAUGUACUGUCCCUUCCCUGGAAGAAGAGACUCAUCUGAGCCUUCCUCUUGGGAGCAACCCUUGGUAGGCAGCUAAAAUUUUCCUUUUCCUCUCAUCCCAUGACUGCUAGGGAAUAUCCAGCCCCUUGCAUUGUCCAGAAUAAUUCCACUGUCCAGAGGGUUGGUGUGUUUCAGCAUCUGUAGGGUGGCUCUUCCCUGCAAUUUCCCUUUUGGCUGCUUUUUCCCAGGUUGGUGCCUCCAGCCCCUAAUGAUUUCUUUUGUUCUUGGAGCAGCAGGUUCAUGCAACUUCUCUGUAAGCAUGUUUGUGUAUUAAACAGGGGUAGGGAAGGAGCAGAAAUGUUCUUCAGUCCAAAAACAUCGCUGGUAACAGAGCAAAAAGUAGAUCCUACAACCCUGGUUUCAAAGGUGUCUUAACUUGUUUUCUAAAGCUAUCUCCAGACUUUCCAGGUCUGUCAGUUCCAUUUUAGAAAACCUGAAGGUUGUCACUACUCGUGACAACUCGUCUGUCUACCCGUCUGUCCCAAACAGACGAGCAAAACUGGUGUGAGCUGAGGUGCAGUGAUUGGGAUCAGCCGUUGCAAAAGGCACCCCAUGAAAGGUGACAGGAUAACAUAUCAUUCCACAAAAGAUUUUGAUCUUCUGGCACAGACACGAGGAGAAGAGUGAACAAGAACUACGUUCAGAGGUCAUCCUGGUUUUGAGAGAGGAAACAACUCAUUUCUGAUGGGAAGUAUUUUGGAUUUCACUUGCUUUCUAUUGCUGUCUGUUUCCCAGCUCAGACAACUGCUCUGUUCUUCAGUGUGCUUGCCCAGAGCUGUUGUAUACGACUGUUAAACAGUGUUUAAACAGCCAUAAGCCUGUUUAUUUACUGAGGCUAUAAAUUAUCUUGAAAUCGGAAUUCAUCAUACUGCAAAUACCAUGUUUCAACAAGCAAGCUGGCGCUCUGCUAGAAUUGCAAUCUAAUAGCCCUCCUCGCUGCUCUGCCAAGUUGCUGUCAAGGGCAAGUGUCCUUGCACGGGUAAUUGCUGCCUUACAGAGAUCCUGGUAGACUCAGAGUUGAUGCCUUUGGGUUUAUCUGCUGGUGUAUCAGGGAAUAUUGUGGUCGGUCAGUGCAGGUCUCUGAUGGCUGCGGCGUGUGUCAGAGUUAACUCGCGCUUGUCAGGGUUUGCCAUUAAAUGAAUGGGCUAUCCAGUCAGUAUCUUCCAGGCAUCAACACCAGUUGUUUCCAGGAUGUGUGAAAAGCUGAUGAUAAUCAAGGAAGGAACUUUUCCCAGUGGGAUUUUCUUCCUCUCUCCAGGUGGUAAUAGGUUACUGUUCCUGGAGCAGGCAGCUCUUAAACAGCAAAGCCAGUAGCAUCCUGUACAGUGUUGCUGGGUAUAUUUCUUUGAUUAUUUGCUCUCCUGAAGCUGUUGAUGUUGUGAGUGACUAAAAGGAUCUGUCUGAAAACACCUGAACUCGACACUUGCACUGUACAAAGUGUGAAUUUAUUGUCAGAUAAUAUUUGUCUGAAGUGUUUCAUCUUGGAGAUUCAACCAGUCAAUAUUAACACCCAUCAAAAGCAGCUGCUGUGCCCUGACUGUUGCACAGAGUGUAGGUUUUCCUGUAGAUGCUGACAUUUCUACUCACCUCAAGCUGAGUGUGGUCCUGGUGGUCCAGGUCCUGACUGCUGCUGCAUGAGCUGUGUUGAUUGGGUUGGCUCAUUCUGUGGCAGGUUGAUAGCAACAACCACUCAUCUACUUACCUGUUCUGUACUGUGUGAGUUGCUUUCACGCUUCUGGAACCAUGCGAACUGGAGAUGGGAAAGAUCUGAGGUCAUCCAACUUCUCCAUUUUCCCCACAAUAGGGAAGGCUUGUUCCCUUCCACUAAUUUUUCCUGUACUUGGUCCAGUUUUAAGUGACUCAAGCAUCAGAGCUUUUUUUUUGCUUCCCUUGGGAGGCCUGGUGGAUUUCUCACUAUGAGAAAUGUUUUCCUCAUUUUUCCACCUGAUCUGUUCCUCUCCCAGAUUCCACAGUGGAAGAGAGCAUAAAGCUACAGUGGGUUAAUGCUCAUCAUGUUAUUGGAGAACUGGUUAACUCUUCUGGUGUCACUUUGAUGUUUGUCCUGAAACGAAAAGGCUUUGGAUAGGAGAACAUCAUGAUAUAGGGACAAGUGUCUCAAAGACUGGCAGGCAUUGAUAGUUGGGGUAGUUUGAGCACCAAGGCCUGUUGGUCUUCCUGGAAAUUAGAGGUUUGUGGAAAGGCUUCUUCUAUAGCCUGUAAGCAUAUCUCCAAAUGGUGAAAAUGGGAAAGAUUACCCUUGGAAUGUUGAACUAAAUGGCAAACUGAACAUAUGGCAAUAGCUGUUCUUUACUCUUGGCUUUGCUUGUGCCUAGCACUUAGUCGAGAAUCCUGCUUUUUCUUAACAAUCUGAGGAUUUUCCCAUGGUUUGCUUUCUUUGCUUAUCCUCCUGCGCUGCCAAUGCUGUGUAACCAGUAGCUCAGCUAAUGCUGAAGUCGUUCUUAAAACAUCAUCUGCUAAAUAGAUGGGUUAUGAUGGGAUAAAGCUACCUUCCAUGAAGGAUGGGUGGGAUCAGGCCUUGGAGAUGCUGUCAAAUGGGAGCCAGUAUGAGAAGGGGCAAGUAAAUAUUUAACGUGUAGUUGUGCAAGGGACAAGACUAAAAUAAAAUGUGAUAAAGGCAGAAAUGUUAAGGGUGGCACUUGGUAGUGGUUGGGAGGUGUGUGGUAGUGCAAUACAUUGUGUGAUGGGGAGCUUUGUUUUCUGUCAGGAGUCACCCAGGAGGCUGCUUCAUGCUUUACCCGAAUUGACAGAAGGCUGUUUGACACCAUUCUCUGCUGUGGUUUGACCAGAGGUAGUGGAUGAUCUUUCACUCGCAUCUCUUGUGGUGAAACAGAGGGCAGCUGGUGGGUCUGUGGUCCCUGCAGCCCAGUGCUGCAUGCCAGCCCUGCUGCUUUUUGUGUCCUUGGAAAGAAAAGCUGCCCUGCUCUGAUGAGAACCACAGCCAUGCCACUUGUGUGGUGGCAAAGCCCAAGAACGUGACUAAUUGGUAACAUAAAGAACCACCUUCCGUGCAGCCUGAUUCACCCGAUUCCUUACACAGACUCACUCUUUCCAUCAAGGAAUAUUUGAUAAUGCAGCGCACACUGCUGAGAUCACCCUUCUGGCAAAUGCCUGCUGUGGUAUGAGACCCAGUCAUCUGGCAGCACAUUGCUUACUGCAGUCUCCACGGCAACCCUCCAUGCUGUUCUUCUUUGGAAGCUCUGCGCAUUCGUAAAGAAGCUGUCAUCCCUCUUACUGUAAGUGCAGCAGAUGUGAAAGAUUUCACCUGUGCCAAUGAACCCCAGGAUGCUGCUGCUCAGAGGGGCAGUGCUGCGUUAGGUAUAAAGCUCCUCUCUGGAAGGCACUGUCCAUCCACUUGCAUGGCAUUACAAAAUGUCUCCUGCUUUGUGCUCUGAGCCUUUUAACGUGCCUGUAGCCAACAGUGUUUGCACAAAGAGACUGGGCUGCUGUGAGGAUUGCAGAAGACCUCUUCUGAGGCACAGCCUUGCAGUGCUGACGUCUGCCACAAAAAGAAUUCAUUUCGGAAGCCUGGUCCCAAGGUGGAUUGAAUGGUCCUGCACUAAAAUGUGAAUGCUUCUGGUAUGGAAACAACUGAACUGCAGUGUGGACCCUCGUGUUUCAAAGAGGCUUCUCUGUUUCUUCUGAGCUGCCAGUUGUGUUGAUAAGGAGGAGCAGCCAUCUUCUGUGUCGUGGAUGCUGAACCUGGCUGUUCAGAGGGGCAGUUGUCUGCCUCCACUGUCCCAUCAGCAGUCCUCUGGGGAGAGGCUGUAAAUCAAAUAGGGUGGAUGUCUUCUCUUCUGCAAUAGGUAGGCCUGGUGUAUUUCAGUGCUAAUAGAUAGAAAUCCACUUUAUCAGUGUUAUGCUGGCCAAUACUAGAACUCAGUCUGGAGCUGUAAGGUUUCAGGUUUAUAUUUUCUCUUACGUCUGUUUUUCUGACUGCUCUAAUGCUCGUGCAGAAAUCAAGGACUGGUGCUUUCUUCUUGCUAAGGGUAUUGCAAGUCUUUGGGGUGAGCAAGGUAGGAGGGAAAAACUCCAUGCUCUGAGCAUGGAAAGGACCACGCUUCCUUGCCUCCCUUGGUAGAUGAUGCGUACACCUGGACCAGAAGAAUUGUUCAUCUUCAAAAUGGGCAUCUGACUUUAUUCCUGGUUGUGGUGGUGGUGUUUUUCUUUAGGGUCAUCAACAUACAGCAAGAGACUCCUCUUCUUGGAGGAAGCCCAAGCCGCCAUCUCAGAAGAGCGGCUGAACCAUAUAACAGCUGAAGUUAAAACAAGGCGACUGCAAGACCUGCCUCUGCCAAAGCAUCUCGUGUUCCCUGUGGGUGACAGUGAGCUCUUUAUUUAUAAAACUGCUGUCACUUUUAUUUCCCACUGUGAGCUCUGAGAGGGAUAGCAUUAGGUUAGGUGAGAGCUCUGGUUUGCUGUGCAGGAGGUUUACUUGUCUGCCCUGUGUUGAGUGGCAGCUGCUGGAAAGCCCUCCCACAGAGUGUUCAGCUUUUGCCUUUCUGUCAGUCUGCUUCUGAAUCUGGGCAGCUCACCUCUGUCCCUGCUUUGCUGUCUCAGCCCUGGGUUUCUCCUGAGAUGGCUGCCAACUGUGCCAGACAGCUGGGAUGCACGUGUUCAAUCAGGUGCUUUCUGUGAACUCUGUAGCUUCUGCCAUAUCUGUCAACAGUGUCACUUGACAUUCCCCAAAGGCUGGAGGGGAGGCGAGGUGUCUUCCUCUUGCUCUAACACUUGUGCUGCAGAAGAUAAGGCCUACUCUGCCCAUGAUCUGAGGAGCCCCAGUCCAGGAGCAUCAGCUAGGUUGGAGCUGCUGAUCACAGAAACGAAGGAGGACCAAUUUGUUAAGAGCAGUGAGCCUACAGCCAUCCAAAGUAAUUCAGGGCAGAUGAUGCUUAGUGCAGAGCCUGCCGUGGUGAUAGCUGAGAACGAGCACUCAUCUGUGCUGCCUGGAGUGGUUUGAGUGCUGCUGGUCUAGAAGACUUCGAUCUACUCUGUGGAGGAAAGGCUCUGUAGCAGCCUGGGUGGGUGCUGACAGUGAGACAACCAAGAGAGGAUUUGCCUGCACUGGACCAGGAUCCCACCCAGCAGUAGCAUUGGACAGAGGGUCUGCACAGAGGGAGAAGUGAGGCACAGGCCCUCCCCUAUGAGCCCUAGCAGCUGUGCUUCUGGCACACCCUGGCCAAUGCAUCACCUUGCCAGCCACAUCUGCCUCUGCAGCACUCUGGUGGGAAGCUGUUUCCAGCACUGCCUGUGACAGCACCUCUUCUAGUACAGCACAAAGGAGCUGUGCCUCUCUGGACUGGAAUGGGCUGGGGGCCUGAGGAUGCCCAAAGCUGCAAGUCAGAGCCUGGUGCAGCUGCUGAGAUAGGGAAGAGGUAAAGGGUGUUGGAGUACUUCCAUUUGUGACGCUCAGCCUCCUCCUUGGACAGCUAUUCACAUGGAAAUGAGUUUGGGUUGGAGGGUCUGUGCUGCAGAUUUCCUAGAAGAGGAAUGGUUACCCAGAAGCCCAUGAAGAACCACCCAGACCAGGGGCCGAGCUGUGGGAACACCCCUCCCUGUCCCUGGAAUCUCCCUGUGAGGAUGAAGUCAUUGCUGUAUGAUGGGUGCUGCACAAUGCAG
This is a non-coding RNA of Phasianus colchicus (ring-necked pheasant), 6861 nucleotides long. The record is from RefSeq and is a predicted model, not a curated record. Lineage: Eukaryota; Metazoa; Chordata; Aves; Galliformes; Phasianidae.